This 196-nucleotide ribosomal RNA is filed under the name uncultured bacterium. Its description in RNAcentral is "partial 16S ribosomal RNA". It matches the Rfam family "Bacterial small subunit ribosomal RNA", at positions 1303 to 1500 of the family's 1533-position model. The record is from RNAcentral.
GGCUGAAAUUCGCCUUCAUGAAGCUGGAAUUGCUGUAAUGGCAGGUCAGCAUACUGCCGUGAAUACGUUCCCAGGCCUUGUACACACCGCCCGUCACACCAUGAGAGUUGGAAAUACCCGAAGCCUGUGAGCUAACUUAAAGAGGCAGCAGUCGAAGGUAGAGCCAAUGAUUGGGGUGAAGUCGUAACAAGGUACC